UCAGGACGAACGCUGGCGGCGUGCUUAACACAUGCAAGUCGAACGAUGAAGCCCUUCGGGGUGGAUUAGUGGCGAACGGGUGAGUAACACGUGGGCAAUCUGCCCUGCACUCUGGGACAAGCCCUGGAAACGGGGUCUAAUACCGGAUACGACCGCCGACCGCAUGGUCUGGUGGUGGAAAGCUCCGGCGGUGCAGGAUGAGCCCGCGGCCUAUCAGCUUGUUGGUGGGGUGAUGGCCUACCAAGGCGACGACGGGUAGCCGGCCUGAGAGGGCGACCGGCCACACUGGGACUGAGACACGGCCCAGACUCCUACGGGAGGCAGCAGUGGGGAAUAUUGCACAAUGGGCGAAAGCCUGAUGCAGCGACGCCGCGUGAGGGAUGACGGCCUUCGGGUUGUAAACCUCUUUCAGCAGGGAAGAAGCGAGAGUGACGGUACCUGCAGAAGAAGCGCCGGCUAACUACGUGCCAGCAGCCGCGGUAAUACGUAGGGCGCAAGCGUUGUCCGGAAUUAUUGGGCGUAAAGAGCUCGUAGGCGGCUUGUCACGUCGGAUGUGAAAGCCCGGGGCUUAACCCCGGGUCUGCAUUCGAUACGGGCAGGCUAGAGUUCGGUAGGGGAGAUCGGAAUUCCUGGUGUAGCGGUGAAAUGCGCAGAUAUCAGGAGGAACACCGGUGGCGAAGGCGGAUCUCUGGGCCGAUAC
Molecule: ribosomal RNA, 700 nt
Filed under: Streptomyces sp. L1984
Lineage: Bacteria; Bacillati; Actinomycetota; Actinomycetes; Kitasatosporales; Streptomycetaceae
Description: bacterial SSU rRNA
Rfam family: Bacterial small subunit ribosomal RNA
Source: RNAcentral